Molecule: non-coding RNA, 763 nt
Organism: Marmota flaviventris (yellow-bellied marmot)
Lineage: Eukaryota; Metazoa; Chordata; Mammalia; Rodentia; Sciuridae
Source: RefSeq, a predicted model, not a curated record
CCUUGGAGGGAUGCUUUGAGAUCUACAUUAUAGUAGUCACCUCGCCCCAGCUGCCUGCUUUGCUCAUCCCACCUCAGGGCUUCAUCUUCAGUUAGUGUUUUAAGCAGAAAUUGAAGUGAAACUAAGGCUGAGAGAGCAGAUGAUUGAUUAAUGGAAGCAUAGGAAUUUGAGCCCUCUUCUUGGAUUCUAGUACUCACUGUAACAUGGGGACCCCCUUUCCUCUGACAGGGCCUGGUGGAGAGCUGAGACUGAAGAGGACCCCACUGUUCCAGGUGGCCUUGGAUACGUAGCUCCUGGCCAGACUUUCCACUCUGAUGGCUGCUACCAAAGCUGAGAGGUGAUUCUAACUGGACCAGAGCUGAGACCUGCUGGUUGAAAGGAAUCCACUUGUACAGUUCUGUCCUUUGGCCACUAGAGGGGAUGCAGGUCAAGAACUGUCAGUCCCUGGGCUCAGAGAAACACCACCGCAAGGGAGCGAAGGUGGCUUGCUGGCUGGAUCAAGACCUAUGAGCCACAGAAAGUCAACCUCACUUAAGAGAUUUGCCCUGAUUAAAGCCCUCACAAUCUUGGCCUCCUGCAGCAAGUGCCUCCUCUCUGCACCAGGGUAUUCUGAUCUGGUCCCUGCCUGGCUUCUUGUGCAGGCUCCAGCUCCCAGACACCUGCUUGGCUCUUUGCACUGCUCCUAUUGCGCUUCAUGGUUACUCUCUGUGGAGGUCAUCUUUCCUUCCAAGCCACAAGGCUGCUUCAUGGUAGAAUAAGUUCA